Molecule: ribosomal RNA, 386 nt
Filed under: uncultured bacterium
Lineage: Bacteria
Description: bacterial SSU rRNA
Rfam family: Bacterial small subunit ribosomal RNA
Source: RNAcentral
AGCGAACGCUGGCGGCAGGCUUAACACAUGCAAGUCGAGCGGGCGUAGCAAUACGUCAGCGGCAGACGGGUGAGUAACGCGUGGGAACGUACCUUUUGGUUCGGAACAACACAGGGAAACUUGUGCUAAUACCGGAUAAGCCCUUACGGGGAAGAUUAUCGCCAAAGAAUCGGCCCGCGUCUGAUUAGCUAGUUGGUGUGGUAACGGCGCACCAAGGCGACGAUCAGUAGCNGGUCUGAGAGGAUGAUCAGCCACAUUGGGACUGAGACACGGCCCAAACUCCUACGGGAGGCAGCAGUGGGGAAUAAUUGGACAAUGGGCGGCAAGCCUGAUCCAGCCAUGCCGCGUGAGUGAUGAAGGCCCUAGGGUUGUAAAGCUCUUUUGUG